Molecule: long non-coding RNA, 254 nt
Filed under: Ananas comosus (pineapple)
Lineage: Eukaryota; Viridiplantae; Streptophyta; Magnoliopsida; Poales; Bromeliaceae
Description: long non-coding RNA (ACOM_LNC032258)
Source: RNAcentral
UAUAUAGAGGCUGCUAUGCUAUCGGAAGCACGGAGUCUUCCGUGCUUCCAGUCCGUUUUCGAUGUUGCGACUUUCAAAUCGCCGAUCGGCUCCUUUAAAUUUGAUCUAGAGUAUUUGAAGUACCUAGAAAAUAAAUCUUAUGAUUUUACGAUAUCUUUUGCCUAGUGAACGAAGGGGCUCAAAAUCAACGGUUGAAAAUAAAAAUCUUACAAAAUGUAAUAAUAUGACAUUAAAAUUUUAAAUCAAAGAUAUUG